This 497-nucleotide ribosomal RNA is filed under the name uncultured bacterium. RNAcentral describes it as "partial 16S ribosomal RNA". It matches the Rfam family "Bacterial small subunit ribosomal RNA", at positions 28 to 507 of the family's 1533-position model. The record is from RNAcentral.
GAUGAACGCUGGCGGCGUGCCUAAUACAUGCAAGUCGAGCGAACAGAUGAGGAGCUUGCUCCACUGACGUUAGCGGCGGACGGGUGAGUAACACGUGGAUAACCUACCUAUAAGACUGGGAUAACUUCGGGAAACCGGUGCUAAUACCGGAUAAAAUCUUGAACCACAUGGUUCAAUAGUGAAAGAUGGUUUUGCAGUCACCUAUAGAUGGAUCCGCGCCGCAUUAGCUAGUUGGUAAGGUAACGGCUUACAAAGGCAACGAUGAGUAGCCGACCUGAGAGGGGGAUCGGCCACACUGGAACUGAGACACGGCCCAGACUCCUACGGGAGGCAGCAGUAGGGAAUCUUCCGCAAUGGGCGAAAGCCUGACGGAGCAACGCCGCGUGGGUGAUGAAGGUCUUCGGAUCUUAAAACUCUGUUAUUAGGGAAGAACAAAUGUGUAAGUAACUAUGCACGUCUUGACGGUACCUAAUCAGAAAGCCACGGCUAACUACGUG